GGAGACCCCUGUUCCCCUCACAGAGCUACAAUUUAGAGUAGUUUAUCAAUCAAUCCUUCUUCCCAAGAAACUCUGGGAAUUGUAGCUCUGUGAGGGGAAUAGGAAUUUG
Non-coding RNA from Podarcis lilfordi (Lilford's wall lizard), 109 nucleotides. The record is from the annotation of a GenBank genome assembly. NCBI's taxonomy places the organism in Eukaryota, Metazoa, Chordata, Lepidosauria, Squamata, Lacertidae.